ACACAUGCAGUCGAGCNNGCAGCAGAGAAACUUGUUUCUCGGGUGGCGAGCGGCGGACGNGUGAGUAAUGCCUGGGAAAUUGCCCUGAUGUGGGGGAUAACCAUUGGAAACGAUGGCUAAUACCGCAUGAUAGCUUCGGCUCAAAGAGGGGGACCUUCGGGCCUCUCGCGUCAGGAUAUGCCCAGGUGGGAUUAGCUAGUUGGUGAGGUAAGGGCUCACCAAGGCGACGAUCCCUAGCUGGUCUGAGAGGAUGAUCAGCCACACUGGAACUGAGACACGGUCCAGACUCCUACGGGAGGCAGCAGUGGGGAAUAUUGCACAAUGGGCGCA
This 330-nucleotide ribosomal RNA is filed under the name bacterium ocnta311lb343onp9.8. RNAcentral's name for it is "bacterial SSU rRNA". It matches the Rfam family "Bacterial small subunit ribosomal RNA", at positions 51 to 379 of the family's 1533-position model. The record is from RNAcentral.